This 1044-nucleotide ribosomal RNA is filed under the name Triticum aestivum (bread wheat). RNAcentral describes it as "partial small subunit ribosomal RNA". The record is from RNAcentral. Lineage: Eukaryota; Viridiplantae; Streptophyta; Magnoliopsida; Poales; Poaceae.
AUGAUGGUGCCCGCGGCCCCUAGGAGCGAGGACGAGAUCCUCCAGCCAGCCAACCUCAGAAGUUUCACCUUCACGGACCUCAAGAAGGCCACGAGGAACUUCCGGCCGGAUAGCGUGCUCGGUGAGGGCUGCUUCGGAUCGGUGUUCAAAGGGUGGGUUGACGAGGCCUCCUUCGCCCCGGCAAGCCCUAGGACCGGCAUGCCCAUCGCCAUCAAGAAGCUCAACCAGGAAAGCUUCCAAAUCCACAAGGAAUGGCUCGAUGAAGCGAAUCACCUAGGCCGAUUGACACACCCCAAUCUGGUGAAGAUGCUAGGGUACUGCCUCGAAGAUGAGCAGCACCUAGUCGUCUAUGAGUUCAUGCCACAAGGAAGCUUGGAUAACCAUCUUUUCAGGAGGGGCUCACAUUUCCAACCACUGUCAUGGGAUCUGAGGAUGAAGGUUGCUCUUGGGGCAGCCAAAGGGCUCGCAUUUCUCCACAGCGACAAGGCCAAUGUCAUCUACGGUUACUUCAAGACAUCAGAUAUUCUUCUUGAUUCGGGCUACAAUGCAAAGUUGUCUGAUUUUGGGAAGCCAAAGGAAGAAGAACCAACCGUUGGUCCGAGCUUUUAUAUUGAUGAAUUGCCGAGCUACUAUGCAAAAAGGCUGUCUGAUCUUGGGUGGUCGACCGAGGAUCCGACAGCAGAGGGCGACGUGUACAACUUCGGGGUGGUGCUGCUGGAGGUACUAGCCGGCCGGCGGCGACUGGACCGGAGCCGGCCAUCCCGUGAGCAAGACCUGGUGGAGUGGGCGCGGCCGCACCUGAGCAAGCGCCAGAUCUCCCGCAUCCUGGACGCGCGGCUGGGCGGACAGUACUCCCUCGCCGACGCACAGGAGGCCGCCGCGCUGGCGUGCAAGUGCCUCUCUGGUAACUUGAGUGUCCGGCCGAGCAUGGAGCAGGUGGUUGCGGCACUGGAGCAGCUGCAGGACACCAAGGAGACCGCAGUGAGCGAUCAGGGGUGCCGCGUUGUCAGGAAGUUUGGUGGUAGCCGACAGCAGCAACCGUAG